GUCAUCAGAGGCCGCCAGCGAGUGCCAAGAUCUUCGGCGUUCCAUUACGCAUCCGAUCGGAAGCUCCUGGUGCAGAACGGAACCCAAUCAAGGGAGAGGGAGGAUGAAGCUGGCCCUUGGUCGGAACGCGGGGUCGUUCUGUUAAGGCGCGAUUCCAAGCCGAUCGCGAAGGCGAAGGGUGGCCAAAGACCGGUGCUUCGCGGCAGCGGAGCUGGUUAUGGCCGCGUCCAGCCGAUAGCCUGAGGCGGGCUGGCUUUUAUUUUUCCGGCUAUGUCCAGUCGAGGAGUCUGGGAACGCGUCCGUGCGAGGGUGCAGCGCUUCCCUGAGCUGUUGGCGAGUUGUGGGGAGCAGGCCUCAGUUUAUGGCAAAUGUAUUGCUUCCAAUACAACCGAACAUGGAAACUUGAGAAAGGAUGUGUGCGCCAAGGAAUUUGCAGUGCUGAUGGAUUGCUUCACAAAGGCUGCAAAAAGAAAUGUAAAGACUUGAAAUGGACACUGGUGGCAAAUCUGGGAUUUAUAGUUGUUUUCAGCACAGAAGAAUAAAGAACUUUUCCAUCUGUCAUAUAUCAAGGUUGGCCAUAAUCCCUGUGAUUUGUCAUUGAACAACACUGCAAACUGGAAAUUUUGCUGUGGCAGCAAGUGAGGAAUUCAAGAUGAAGUCCAGGGCUGCCUUCUGUCUGUCUCUUUCUUUGAAAUUGCUUGGAGAUGGAUUGUUUAAAACUCAGUUGUUCUAUGGAGGAAUGCCAGAAGUAUCUUUGGUCCUUCGAUUACAGCAUAUGUUCACACUGUGGCUAGAAAAACCAUGACCGGGUGUGGAGCUUCAUAGCCCUUUGUAUUAAAGCAAUUUGGCUGAUAUUUACAAAAAAUAAAGUAAAUCAUAUUUACAUAUUGAAUUGACAGCAAUCCCACCACAAAUUAAUUGUGCUUUGGGCAGCACCAUUCAAUGGUCAUGUAGAAUAUCAUACUAAAUCAGCCUUUCCCCACCUAAAAAACCCCCUUCCUUCUAACAUGCCCAGCCAAGUCAGGGAAUAGCACAUCUGGGGAUCCUAGGUCAGGAAAGGUUGCACUCAGCCAUAGUUAAACACAGGAGUAAGCAAGCUGAUGUCUUCCAAAUUUUUUAUAACACCCAUAAUCACUGGUCAUGCUGAUUGAGUUUAUGGGAUUUGUGUCCAAAAUGCCUGAAACUCUGCUUGGCUACUCCUGGUUUAGUGUGAUGACAAUACAUUACAGCACACAUAUUAUUCUCAAGUAUGGCUUGCAAGGAGUUUGGAAUCUCGAGCUUCCAUUUGGCCAUGACUUAUGUCAUCUAAAUUGUUGGUUAGUGCUAACCAUAGUUUGAUGCAUGUGGACCAUAAUUUAUUUUGGAGAUGAUAUAUGACAAACUCUAUAUGACCAAACAGAAGCUCAAGCUUCCAAACACCAUAUGGCCUCUGGUGGCGGAGGCUUGAAAGGAGACUAUAGAUAAGCUGAAGGUCCUCUGCAGCUCAUUACAAUCACCUAAAAUCACAGUUUAAUAUGAUGGUCAAGCAGGACCAAUGAAGUGCCUGAGGAAAGGCUAGAACAAUAAUGUUUGUAACAGGGCAAAAUGCCCCUUGAAAUAGUCAAGUGGUACCAGCCACAUUUCUCUGUCUCCCUGAAUGGAAAUAUAGCAAUACAUUUCACAGGCAAGAUACAAGAAUGGCGUUGCCCCCCAAUCUCCAUUCCAUGUUGCAGGCCAAGCUAUACUCCAGAAGCAAUGUCUGUUUGAUAUUUUUCCCUCUUGUUCUAGGAAAAUAAACUGGUAACAGACUUGAGGAUAGCUGUUUAUAGCCAAAUUCCAUUAUUUCUGGAGAAUCUCAGAUUGGAUGGGCAAAUAUCUUUGGAUGUUAGGGAUAUUCAAAUGUCAAGAGCUUAAUUUUGCUGUAUCAUUUGUUAACAACAGAAAUAACAAUCCUUAUCAGGACACCUAGAACAAACCAAUUGUGUUCAAAUGUAGAAGCUUGCCAACUCAAGGACAGGACUAACAGAUUUCACAUACUGUAGUCUUCCGAAGAACUGGAAGGGAUAUAGGGGGACAGCUUUAAGCUAUCCUAUAUGUACUCAUAAAAUGGAUGAAAGAGGUAGAUGUCAGCUGGCCUACUUGGAUAGUGCCCCCUUGAAAUAAUGCCAUUUAAACUUUCACAAUUGCUUUCUCUUGCAGCAAGUAUCUUGCAAGGCUUUUAUGUACAGUAUGGUUCCAUAAUGCACUUAAGAUAGGUAUGUUUUAAAAACAUAAACCUACAUUUUGAUAACCAAGAAUGAAGAGGAAAGAAUAGGUAACUUUUAUUAUUGCUAGUACUGGACCUAUGGUUGAAGAAGAUAAGAGCAGUUUGUAAGUUGCUGUAAGGAUGCAUCUGAUAGUAAUCAGCUCCAUAUUCCUAAGAAUUUAUCCUUGAAUAGAUGUUCCCCUUUCAGACAUUUACAGAACCUCUUUCAUCUUCUUGCAACCAUUUCCAAAAGCAAAUCAACCCAUUUAGCAAAUGGUAGAACAGAAGAAUCCAAACAUUAAUUUAAGGGAGGCUAACAUCCACAUACCCAUAAAGGGAGCUUCCAACAAGAUAAAAUGACAAAUUAGACAAUGCGCUAAUCCUACACGCAGAAAUUAAACAGUUAAAGGUAUCUGAGCAAGAAUAAAAGCAUACAUGCUUCUUUGGAAAGGUGGCAAGCAUAAAGCAUUUUCAGAACCCAGAAAGUAGGUGAACCUGGGUUUCGCACACAAGCUACCAGCAGAGUGAGGAGAAACAGUUUUGAAGUAUGAAGUUGGCUGGCAGCAUGGAAAUUCCUCUUUCCCCCAGAGCAAACAACAAUGCUCAGUCAUCAGGGCUCAGUUCAGAUAGAGCUAGUUGACCUGGACUGCCAACAGUUAUAUACCAAUGGCAGUUAGCUGCGUAACAGAUACCUUUAAGCAGCUGGCAGAUUCC
RNA transcript from Python bivittatus (Burmese python), 2938 nucleotides. It is a transcript of the gene named NADH:ubiquinone oxidoreductase complex assembly factor 8, with no coding region annotated. The record is from RefSeq and is a predicted model, not a curated record. Lineage: Eukaryota; Metazoa; Chordata; Lepidosauria; Squamata; Pythonidae.